GAUGAACGCUGGCGGCGUGCUUAACACAUGCAAGUCGAGGGGCAGCAUGAGGGUUAGCAAUAACCCUUGAUGGCGACCGGCGCAAGGGUGCGUAACGCGUGAGCAACUUGCCCGUUUCAGGGGGAUAACCGGUGGAAACGCCGACUAAUACCCCAUGGUGAUGGUUUGAGGCAUCUCUUUCCAUCUAAAGAAUUUCGGAAACGGAUAGGCUCGCGUGACAUUAGCUAGAUGGCGGGGUAACGGCCCACCAUGGCGACGAUGUCUAGGGGUUCUGAGAGGAAGGUCCCCCACACUGGAACUGAGACACGGUCCAGACUCCUACGGGAGGCAGCAGUGAGGAAUAUUGGUCAAUGGUCUGACGACUGAACCAGCCAUGCCGCGUGAAGGUCACGGCCCUAUGGGUCUUAAACUUCUUUGCAAGGGAGCAAUAAGGUCUACGUGUAGAUCGAUAAGAGUACCUUGCGAAUAAGCAUCGGCUAACUCCGUGCCAGCAG
This 494-nucleotide ribosomal RNA is filed under the name uncultured bacterium. Its description in RNAcentral is "bacterial SSU rRNA". It matches the Rfam family "Bacterial small subunit ribosomal RNA", at positions 28 to 514 of the family's 1533-position model. The record is from RNAcentral.